RNAcentral lists this ribosomal RNA (467 nucleotides) under uncultured bacterium. Its description in RNAcentral is "partial 16S ribosomal RNA". It matches the Rfam family "Bacterial small subunit ribosomal RNA", at positions 29 to 507 of the family's 1533-position model. The record is from RNAcentral.
ACGAACGCUGGCGGCGUGCUUAACACCUGCAAGUCGAACGGAAAGGCCCUGCUUUUGUGGGGUGCUCGAGUGGCGAACGGGUGAGUAACACGUGAGUAACCUGCCCUUGACCUUGGGAUAACUUCAGGAAACUGGGGCUAAUACCGGAUAGGAGCUCCUGCUGCAUGGUGGGGGUUGGAAAGUUUCGGCGGUUGGGGAUGGACUCGCGGCUUAUCAGCUUGUUGGUGGGGUAGUGGCUUACCAAGGCUUUGACGGGUAGCCGGCCUGAGAGGGUGACCGGCCACAUUGGGACUGAGAUACGGCCCAGACUCCUACGGGAGGCAGCAGUGGGGAAUAUUGCACAAUGGGCGGAAGCCUGAUGCAGCAACGCCGCGUGCGGGAUGACGGCCUUCGGGUUGUAAACCGCUUUCGCCUGUGACGAAGCGUGAGUGACGGUAAUGGGUAAAGAAGCACCGGCUAACUACGUG